GUGAGAUUUGAAAUAAACCGAUGAUCACAUUCUUGUGACUUACGCCUUGCAGGCAAAGGAAUUUUAUAAUUAAACACACGGGCUAGGACGCUGUAGAUACUCACUGCUCAAGAAAAAUACUCAUUCUGUUUAAAAAAAGGAUAAAACAAUGUCAAUACAUCAAACCACAUCGUGUCCAGUGGAGUCAUGCUCAAUGUGUUGCGAUGGAUAUACUUUAGAGGGUAAUGGUAAAAUUAAAUGUGGAAUGCAUAUUGAAGUUUCCGGACAAAGUCAGUGUGCUAUUGUGGGCUCAGGGGUGCCUUCAGGGGUGCCUUCGUUUAAACAUCAUGCUGUGGUUAAAAGUGUCGUGUCAGCGGAUGAUAACUCCGUCACGGUAGAAAUAAUUCAUGUAACUGGACGGAGGGACACACAAGGAAAUAUAAUACGGAUGGAAAGGGUAACGAUUCAAAAAUGUGACUUGGCAAUCAUACGACAUCCAGAUAUUGCUAGGGACGAAGUAGUUGAAAACGCACUUGAUAACUUCUUCAGUCAAACGGAUGAACAAAAAUACGAUGCUUGCACUAACAACUGUGAACAUUUUGUUCAUAAAUGGAUAAAAAGUAAAAAGGAAAGUCAUCAGUCUUCAUCGUGGAAACAAGUUGUCAUAGGAUUAGGAAUCAUGAGUAUCGUAAUUCUGUGUUUUAAAUUGGGAAACCGUCGUGUACCAUAAUGCCGUGAUACAUUGGUUCCCUUUUGAAUUGUUGGCCCGUCGUGCGUUGUUUUAACUUUCAAAGGUUUGUUAAAACCUACUAAACAAAUGGACACAGUGACGACUCUAAGUCAACAUUGCCAUAUUAUAUCAUUGAAUGCAUACAAUUUGGUUUAAACCAAUGUUUAAAAAUAUUGUAUUUAAACGUUUUUCUAUUUAUUUGUGAUUUGUCUUAAAUUUACUCAGCCUUUCAAUCUUUUUGUCACUUUAACGAUCGUUGAAUAUUAUUUUGACUCUUAUUUUCAUUUUUUGAACUACUGUUACAACAUAAGCUGCAUCUAUCUAUGAUACAUACUUGAUUUAUAUGCUAUUUAUAACAUAUUUGUCCAUUGAUAUAUCUUAAGAAAAUAAACAUGUAUUUCUUUCUUAAAAUCAUUGACGAUCUUACGCAAACCUGGCAAUAAACCUCCUUUUGAAAUGAUCUAGUUUGAAUAGGUAUGGUUGUCAAUAUCGAUAAGGUAACAAUUACUUUUUGUAGAACAUUCAAAUCGUUUGCCGGCUGUUUAAGAAAAACGAUAUUCAGCUAUUAUUACAAAUAUUUGAUUUUAACAAAAUCCAUUGCAGCCUAUGUAUCUUAAUUUCAAACGUAUUUGAAUACGAUACACUCUAUUUGAUAUUUAUUUAUUCAUCCUUUUAUUUAAUUAAAGUUAUUGAAAGCGUGAAUGUACCAAAUCUUUAUUUAAAAAAAAAUAUGUUGACCAAUUAGAAUAAAGAAUAUUUUACGUUAUGAUGAUUACUUCAGAAAGCUGACGAUUUUUACAGAUUGUCUGUUUAUCAUACAGGUUUUCACUUUUAUGUUUAUGUUUUGAUGAAUACAAUUUACACUUCUUGC
Molecule: long non-coding RNA, 1580 nt
Organism: Mya arenaria
Lineage: Eukaryota; Metazoa; Mollusca; Bivalvia; Myida; Myidae
Exons: 2
Source: RefSeq, a predicted model, not a curated record